RNAcentral lists this long non-coding RNA (2257 nucleotides) under Triticum aestivum (bread wheat). Its description in RNAcentral is "long non-coding RNA (TAES_LNC002549)". Lineage: Eukaryota; Viridiplantae; Streptophyta; Magnoliopsida; Poales; Poaceae. The record is from RNAcentral.
UGGCAUCGAGGCUAUCCAUACUAUUUAAUACUGACAUGCAUGAUUUAACCGAGUAAGUGUCAUUUUGUUCAGCUGUUUUUUUCUUUGCUUCAGCAAUGCUGAGUGAUGCAUCUGCAAGACGAUCAAUUGCUAUUAUGGCAUCAUCAGCUGUACGUUUUUGUCCUCUUGUAGUUUCUUUUGAUCCACUUCCAGGGAAUUUCUUUUUCUCUGGCUCAAUGGCUGUCGACUUCUUAGUGAACACACCAGGGGAGCCAUCGUUUUCAUCAGACUCGAUUUCAUGUACUUCAACAUCCUUAUUGAGAUCAAUUUGAGAUGAUUUAGUUUUGCAUGCACCAUCUUUCCCUUUGCUAGAUACAGCACCAACUCCAGAUGCCGUUGAACUAGCACAUAUUUGUUGAAGAUCUUCCCAACUAGGCCACACCUUUUCUCGAUAUUCUUGGAGUGACUUAUCCUUCUGCAAGUUGUUAAUUUUUAUAUUAAUAAAUAUAAUAUACCAAUUUUAUAUGAAUCCUACUCGCACAAACUUACCUCAAUUAGUUCCUCCCAAGUUUCUUCUGAAGCUUUUAUCAUUUUGUCAUCGUUGUCCCAACCAAAUCCCGUCAGUUUAAGAAGUCUAUCCAUGGCAGCAUAGCAACUCCUGUAGUACUUAUGGCGAUUUUUCAAUUGUUGUAAUUCAAGUUUGUCUACUCUUGAAUCAUUGAAUUGUUCUAAGAUAUCAAGCCAUGCUUUCUUUGUGUAACCUGUUCCUUCUUUCCCUCCGUGUAAAGUUUGAUCUUUCAGUAUAGUGAGAAGUAUUUUGUCCUCCGACGAUUUCCAUACAUGCCUCUUUUUAUCUGGGUUUUCUUUCCUAUUUUUUUGGUCCUUCUGAUCAUCCAUAUUUAUCUACAAGAAAAUAAAAAAUUUAAAUGAGUUGUACUGCAUUCAUGAUAAUAAUAUUUCAACUGCAUUCAUGUGAUCUCUUGGCGUGUAUUCUUCUAAUUGCAGUAGACAAAUGGGGGUCUAGGACUGAGCUAAUCUUUACUGUUUUACCCAUGACAACAGUUACUACUAAUUGUUUGAUUUCUACGUGUAUUCCUAUGUUCUUUUCACAAUGUAGGUCGGCAAAGGAACUGAUGGCUUGUAUUUCAGUGAUCUACUGUUGGCUUACCAUUUGUUUUUAUAGAGGUAAGCUGCAUGUGGAUGUUGAAUUUAAAUUCGAGGGCCCCUUAUAUCCAGGAGUACACGGUUGGCCUACAUACUAGACUAUGAUACAUGUGUAUACAAUUUAGACUACAUCACAAACAUACAUACUUAUAUCGCACAGUUCAGAUUGGCCUAGUGCCUAUUAAUACCAUAUAAAUAUAUAAUUAGAGUUAGCGUGCCAUUUACUAUUUUUUCAUAUCUGGCAUGUACCUGGUUUCCAUGUACAGCAGCAAGUAACUAGUGUAGUGGGUUUCUUUUAUAAUCAAACAGAGGUGUGUUUCCAAUUAGAGAGAGGAAGGGACAAAUUGCCAAGUUGGUGGUUCUAGUUUCAUCUACGAAUUGGCUAUGUCAGAUUACCAGAGUUUUUUUUCUUUCUGCAAAAUGAGCUUCAUUACCAAAAAAAUGAAUCGAUGAACAAUACCAUGAAUUUGUAGAUCUACAACUUAUACAUACGAAUUUGUUGAUCAGGAUGAUUGAUCGAUGAACAAUACCAUGAAAUUUGUACAUCUACAACUUAAAUGAACUAAUUUGUUGAUCUGGAUGAUUGAUCAAUGGACAAUGUCAUGAAAUAUGUACAUCGGCUACAACUUAUAUUGACAGGAUGAUUGAUCUUACCAGGGUCGUGCAACUUGAUUGAAGAUGGGAAGAUGAUGAGAACCGCCUGAUGAAGACGCCGCUGAGAACCAGCGCCAGCGUCUCCCAGCCAGCGCCUGUGACUGGAAUUGACGGCCAGCCAGUUUAAUUAGCGAUGGGGCCUGUAUAUAAGCAAUGAAAAAGGCGCGAGGGCGAGCAGCAAAACGCAGAACUGGCGCCAGAAAAGUUGUUGAGAAGCGAGCGGGCGGGAAAAAGUUGUUGCGAUCACGCAUAUAGAAAUCGCGUUUGUGGAAAAACGGAUAAAACUCGUUUUUCUAUAAGCCCGAAUCUUGGGUUGUACAGUUCCAGGUUUCCUAUAAACGUGGAUUUGUUAUAGUAGCCAAACGAGGUUUUGUUUGGUUGAACCGUUUUCCUGGUUUAUAGAGUACGGAUUCUAUAUAUAUCUUCUAUCCAAACAACACCUUAGCGAUGCGGAAGCAAG